AUUGAACGCUGGCGGCAUGCCUUACACAUGCAAGUCGAACGGCAGCACGGGAGCAAUCCUGGUGGCGAGUAGCGAACGGGUGAGUAAUAUAUCGGAACGUGCCCAGUCGUGGGGAUAACGUAGCGAAAGCUACGCUAAUACCGCAUAUGAUCUAUGGAUGAAAGCGGGGGAUCGCAAGACCUCGCGCGAUUGGAGCGGCCGAUAUCAGAUUAGGUAGUUGGUGAGGUAAAGGCUCACCAAGCCGACGAUCUGUAGCUGGUCUGAGAGGACGACCAGCCACACUGGGACUGAGACACGGCCCAGACUCCUACGGGAGGCAGCAGUGGGGAA
RNAcentral lists this ribosomal RNA (330 nucleotides) under uncultured bacterium. RNAcentral's name for it is "bacterial SSU rRNA". It matches the Rfam family "Bacterial small subunit ribosomal RNA", at positions 30 to 361 of the family's 1533-position model. The record is from RNAcentral.